This 539-nucleotide ribosomal RNA is filed under the name Labrenzia sp. FG1. RNAcentral describes it as "bacterial SSU rRNA". It matches the Rfam family "Bacterial small subunit ribosomal RNA", at positions 958 to 1498 of the family's 1533-position model. The record is from RNAcentral. Lineage: Bacteria; Pseudomonadati; Pseudomonadota; Alphaproteobacteria; Hyphomicrobiales; Stappiaceae.
AACGCGAAGAACCUUACCAGCCCUUGACAUUUGGUGCUACUUCCAGAGAUGGAAGGUUCCCUUCGGGGACGCCAGGACAGGUGCUGCAUGGCUGUCGUCAGCUCGUGUCGUGAGAUGUUGGGUUAAGUCCCGCAACGAGCGCAACCCUCGCCCUUAGUUGCCAGCAUUCAGUUGGGCACUCUAGGGGGACUGCCGGUGAUAAGCCGAGAGGAAGGUGGGGAUGACGUCAAGUCCUCAUGGCCCUUACGGGCUGGGCUACACACGUGCUACAAUGGCGGUGACAGUGGGCAGCGAACUCGCGAGAGGGAGCUAAUCUCCAAAAGCCGUCUCAGUUCGGAUUGUUCUCUGCAACUCGAGAGCAUGAAGUUGGAAUCGCUAGUAAUCGCGUAACAGCAUGACGCGGUGAAUACGUUCCCGGGCCUUGUACACACCGCCCGUCACACCAUGGGAGUUGGGUUUACCCGAAGGCAGUGCGCUAACCGCAAGGGGGCAGCUGACCACGGUAGGCUCAGCGACUGGGGUGAAGUCGUAACAAGGUA